CAGGGGUGGGAGUGGGGGGUGGGAAUGGUUUCAGGAUAAAACUGUUCCACCUCAGAUCAUCAGGCAUUAGUUAGAUUCUCAUAAGGAGUGUGCAAACUAGAUCCCUCACAUGCACAGUUCUCAAUAGGGUUCACGGACCAGUACCCCAUUACCGGUUUGUGGCCUGGGGUUGGGGACCCCUGACAUAGGCCACUCACUUAGAAGGGCUUCAUACAGAGUUUAAUGCUGUCCUGCCACCUUCUUGAAAUCUUAACAAUUUUUGAACAAGGGGCCAUAUAAGUUGUAUUUUACACUGGACCAUUCAAGUUGUACAGCUGGUCUGGACCUAGGCUCUUCCCUAGGAGCUCUGUUUCACAGGGAAUCAGCCAGGGAGUUGACAACUGCAGUUCAGUACGAUGGGGGUUGUGACAGAAGCAGGGUAGCCGUGAAAGAAGAACAGGACCUUGGCCAGUAUUCAGCUCACUUGGGUCAUCCUCCCCAGCUGUGCAACCUGCCCAGCUGCCAAUGACUUACCACUGUGCUCCUUGGUGGGAGGAUGGCCUUGGUUUAGCACCAGGGCCUGUAGCCCCAGACAGCAGCUGCAAACCCUGCCACCCUAAGAGGCCACUGCUAGGUCAUGUCAACACCAGGAAAUGUGUGUCAUUGGAGCCCUAAGCUGUUCUCAUGUCCUCCAACCCAGGACUCAUGUCCCUGAUCUCAUGUCCCCGAUCACCAGACUGCCAGUGGACUCUACUUUCUGCUGCCUGCCCAGACCCAGUCAACUUCCAGAAAAGGGCACAUAAAGUGAUCCACACUGAAAAGCAAUUGGCAGACAAAACCUAAUGGGCUAUUCAUCCAAAGGAAACUUGGGUUUUAUUAGGGGUAUCUGGUGUCCUCCUGGCCUGCAUUCUGACAUAUAAUAAGCAUCUAAGUCAUGACAAUUGAGUGAACAUACAAAAGGUAAAUACAUAUGGCAAAGCCUAGAAUUGGAAUUGGCAGUUUGAAGGCCAUUGGCCCAAGAACAGGGUAUUUUCGGUUGUGUUCUCUUUUCUUUCUUUUUUUUGGAUGAGUGCUGGAAGCCCCAACACAAUUGUUUGGGAAUAAAUGGAAGUGAGGAAUGGAGAAGUAAGGAGGUACCACUCUCAAGGAGGCUGUCAGUAGAGGGGACAAAGAGUGUGAGAGAGGAACAGAAGAACCAAGCAGGAGACUGGAAGAGGCUGCAUACAGAAGGGCAGCAUCUGCCCCACCUCCCAGAGCUUCGCCAGCAAAGGCCAAAUCAAACAGCGGCCCAGAGCAGAGGGCUGGCCAGCUCUACAGAGCCAGCAAACACCAGAGGGAAAUCACCCUGGAUCCAUAUCUUCUAACCUUUGCCUCUGUGAGCAUGUUUGGGAAGGAGACAUCUAUGAGAUUGCAGGAGCCAAUUCAGGCUACAUGCUUAUAGCUGCAAUUGAAAAAUUAGGCUAGAAUGCAGGGCCUCCCUGAAGAUAUUUCUGAAAAUCAUGUACUUCCUUUAAGGGAUUUACAAAUCUGGAGUCCUUCCAAAACAGGACAAGUAAGACAUGAGCAGUGACUUUCUACUCUCCAUCCAGCAGCCAACAAUAGACUUCGUCAUUCAGAUGGAGCUGCAGAGGUACAGACCUGAGAGAGCUGGAAGUCAUAGAGCCAAUCCCAUGUAUUACUGACGAGGUAACUAUGGCUCAGGGUGACUUGACCUGUAAGCCACAAGCUUGUGGGUGACCACUCCAGGCCCUGAAUGGAGGAUUUCACUCCAUCCCCCUGCCCCACAAGUGGCCUCUGAGAGACAGAGUACCUGAUGCCACCUUAUGUGGGAUAUUGUUUUUGCUGUCACGAAUUUCUGAAUCCCCUCUUUGUGGAAUAGAGAAAUCAAAGCCACCAUACGUUCAAGGGUAUCCACUAAAGAAGCCACAUGGUUACUUCAGCUAAAAAUAAAUUAAAGACCUAACAAUGAAUUAUCAUUUAUCUAAUCAUCUGGGAAUGAUGAAAUUAAUGUUUCGUAUCUACUAUUUUACAGUUAUAAAUUGCUUAGAAAGUAUAGAUAUUUUUCCCUCAUAAUUCUGCUUUCCCAUGAGUGCACAUGCAUACACACAAGACCCAACCACAGUAUCUUGACCGUGAAUAUAAUAAAUAAGGAAAUAACAAAUGUAGUAAGGUGAAGGAGGGGGUUCUGUCAGCCCAAGAAUGUUCUAGGCCUAGUGUUUGGUGGAGCCAACCAGCUCCUACAAGCCAGCGAAAACAAAGAAAAGUGCCUGGCCAUUUCAUUACAGAGUGCUUCCCAAUAAUCUAAUUCCUCCACCAUCAAAAUUUGGUCAGGGAACAUCACCAUUUUUAGAGAGAUGCUUUGUUUUGAUAAAACAACCCUUCUGUAUUAGUCUCUUCUCAUGCUGCUGAUCAAGACUUACCUGAGACUGGGUAAUUUAUAAACGAAAAGAGGUUUAGUGGACUCACAGUUCCAUGUGGCUGGGGAGGCCUCACAAUCAUGGUGGAGGGCAAAAGGCACGUCUUAUAUGGUGGCAGACAAGAGAGAGCUUGGGCAGGGAAACUCCCCUUUAUCAAACCAUCAAAUCUCGUGAGACUUAUUCACUAUCACAAGAACAGCACAGGAAAGACCCACCCCUAUGAUUCAAUUACCUCCCACCAGGUCCCUCCCAUGACAAAUGGGAAUUGUGGGAGCUACAAUUCAAGAGGAGAUUUGAGUGGGGACACAGCCAAACUAUAUCACCUUCUAAGCUUAUGUCUCACUAUUCACCCACAAAUAGGCUGUAAAGAGCCCAGCAUUUGCUUUCUAGCAAUGGUGUCAUACCAGCUUUGCUUUCCCUGCCUGCAGGGCCCUCCAUGCAUCUCUGUUUAAAGUCUAAAGCCAGAUCCAGCUUUCAUGCUGCCUACUGCAGAAAGACACCUCUGGUGUUUCUCAACCAGAGGAGCCUCCCC
RNAcentral lists this long non-coding RNA (2928 nucleotides) under Homo sapiens (human). Its description in RNAcentral is "HSALNT0184404". The record is from RNAcentral. Lineage: Eukaryota; Metazoa; Chordata; Mammalia; Primates; Hominidae.